AUUAAUGAACUUGAAUAAGUAUAUACUUUGAAAGUAUAAAAAAGAAGUUCAGUCUUCUAUUGAU
This 64-nucleotide transfer RNA is filed under the name Anthonomus grandis (boll weevil). RNAcentral's name for it is "tRNA-Ser". Lineage: Eukaryota; Metazoa; Arthropoda; Insecta; Coleoptera; Curculionidae. The record is from RNAcentral.